AGUAUAUUUAUUAAUAAAUAUUUAUUAAAUAAAUAUGUCCGCAUGUGCGGACAAAACUCCUAAUUUUCAUUAUAUUUAGUUAGAUUUUUAGUUAAUUAAUUAAUAAUUGAUUUUUGAAGAUUUUCGUGAUCUAUUUAAAUUUGGUAGAAGAUAUAAAUGUUUUAACAUAUUUUUUAUCACAAUAAGUUUUUUAAAGAUAUUAUAUCCUGUUUUAAUAAAACAAAUAACUAUUAUUGUUGGAAAAGAAAAUUAUAUAGCAAUCAAAUAAUUUAUUUUAAUAAGUUAAUAAAUAUGGAUUAUAUCCCAAUUAUUUGCUCAAAAUAAAUAAAGUAAUUAGUUGACACAUCAAGAACUAUAUAUUAGGAAGAUAAAUCCUAUAUACUGUCAACAAGUAUUAAAAGAGAAUCUUACAUUAAGAGAAUAUUAUGACACGUGAGCUUUCCAAAAUUAAUUUAUUUUGCCAACUUAAAUCACGCGCGAAUGUUUAACCGACUUUGCUCGUUAUAUUUCAUCUUUGCCGUUGAUUAAUUUACACGUCCAACAAUUUGAGACCGUAGGAUCUCUCUGAUAUCCCCGAAAUUUGAAACCGACUCGGGAUACUGGGGUUCUAUAUAAGAAGUGGUCAACUUAUUAUUCCUUUGCACCCAAAUCUCCCGCUAAUUAGGCGAUGGUUCUCUUGUUAGGGUUUGGCCUCGAUUUUUCCCGGCCCUUCAUCGAGUUGCGUUACUUUUGGAGAUUCGUAUUUCUAUAGGGAUGGAAUAAGAGCGGAGAGGGGUAAACGAGAUCUGAUCAAGUCUCGUUGAUCAACAAACCACGACAAGUCCUUGUGUAACUCUUGCACAUGUUUUGUUUGGGCUCUCAAACGGAAAAAGAAAGUAGUUAGGGAUGUAUAUGACCUUUGCCAUGACAGGUGCGCUUGCUUGGCAGGUCACAAACCCUUAAUAAAAAGUGAGUUUUUGUUGUGCGGAGGAUUGGGAGAUGGUACGGGAUUGGUUUAUUUUCUUUCUUCUGCCCGGCUCUCCCUUCCUCCGGUCUGUGUGUGUGUGCGCCUGUGUCUCUCUUUUUACUUUCUUGCUCAUUCAUAUGCUUCUUGCAUACCACGAACAUGCUACUUGCAUACCACGAACAUGCUUCUUGCAUAACCCGAACAUGCUUCUUGCAUACCACAUUAUGCUUCUUGCAUAACCCGAACAUGCUUCUUGCAUGCACGUUAUGCUUCUUGCAUAACAAGAACAUGCUUCUUGCAUACCACAUUAUGCUUCUUGCAUAACCCGAACAUGCUUCUUGCAUGCCACAUUAUAUAUGCUUCUUGCAUACCACAUUAUAUAUGCUUCUUGCAUACACACAUUAUGCUUCUUGCAUACCACAAAGAGUAUCACAGACCCAACUGUGGCAUCAAUUGUGUCUCUCUAAUAUGCGGCUUGCAUAUGAACGAAGAGAAUCACUGAGCAUCACUUGUGCUCUUUAUAAUGAUUCUUGCAUGUGCUAAUGGGAAGAACGAACCUGACAUUGAGCCUUGGAUGACCAAAACGAUGGUUAUUAUCUGUAAAUCUUUUUCUCUCAGAAACAUAUUAAAGAAGUAAAGUGAAAACUAGUCAAAAACUGGGUCAUUGCAUUUUUAGUUAAGUGCGGUUUAUUUUGCGUCCUCCAGUUCAGAUUGGGUACGUGGCUAGGAUUAUAAAGAUAUAUGUAUAAAUAUUAAUGAUCAAAGGUUUGGCUCAAGUAAUUGUUGUUCUGAUGUAUCUGUGGUGUACUGUGGGUAACACUUAAUGUGACUAUGCUUGUUAGUAUUUUUACCAUCGAGUUAUUCUAAAGCGAUGGAUGUGUUUCAAGAAUGGCGGGCAGGACGAUGGAAUCUGAAUCUAUAAAAGCUGAACAGUUGUAAGGAGGUUGAUAUCUGUAUAAUUUGGGUUUGCAAGGAUUUUUCGUACACACUAUUAUCCAACGGUAACGUUUUUGGCCAAGAAAAUACUAAUGUAAAUGUAGUAUAAGGCAUUAAUGCGUUGUUCAUGGCUCUCUUUUUUCCUUUAAUCAUUGCCCUUUUUCUGGUACAGAACUUCAUAUUAUUUGAUGACUAUUGUCUGAAUGUUACUUGUCCUAAUUGCGCAUGCAUGCCUGCCUAAGAUUCCUCUUUCGUGUCAGGUACUUAUUACGUAAUGACCAUCUAAAGUGAGCAAGCCUUCGUCUGUAUAUAUUCUUUUGGAUGCAAACGAGAGACUAAGAAAGUGGACCUAUCAGCUCAGAUGAGAAAGUACAAUCUGCAAGAAAGUUCGGAGGCUUAAGGUGGCUGUAACCUAUUUGGUUCCUUUUGCUCUUUUUUUUUUGUUUAUUCUCUUUUCAAAGAGAUCAAGAAAAACUUAUAGGCUUGGAUGGCAUAGAUAAUAAGGAUACAUGUAUUGUUUUGUGUAGUAGUACUUGAAUGAAACUUGUGGUUGUCUAGGA
This is a long non-coding RNA of Brassica napus (rape), 2442 nucleotides long. RefSeq lists it as uncharacterized. The record is from RefSeq and is a predicted model, not a curated record. The transcript has 2 exons. Lineage: Eukaryota; Viridiplantae; Streptophyta; Magnoliopsida; Brassicales; Brassicaceae.